AAGCAGGGGACAGCAGACAUAGUGGAAGCUUCAGCGCACUGUGAACCAUCGUUAAAUGAACACCAUGACUGAUGAAGCCAUCAGCCCUGUAGGAACAAGGACUGUUGCAGCGUGUGCUCAGAUGGAUUCUCUUUCUGGGCAGCUGAUGUAACAUUUAGAAGUUUCUGCAAUUUGAAACAGAAGCAGUAAGGUCCUUGGUCAGGCUGGCUAAACGGGGCAAUACAUGGCUCCAAGAGGGAAUACAAGCACUGUUAAGGAAGAGUCCUGGGAAGCUGGUCCUGGGAGAGUGGACAAGCUCGUGUCUGCACAUUCAAAUCUCGGGAUCAGGAGCCAGGCUGGUCACAGGAAUACUUGCUUGUGUAGAGCAAACCAAAGCAUUGCAGCUACAGAAAUCAGUUUAAAUGUAAGUUUCACCCUUGGGGUCUCUGUUAAACGUUUCUCCUGAGCAUCUGCAGAGACAUUCCUCACAGCUGUUGCAUGGACUGACUGAAACCCUCCUGGCACCUGCAUAUUCCACAAGAAGUAUUUUACAAGGGCAGUAUUACUGGCUCAGAACACCCCAUUUUCAGUUGCAAUGCAAAAUGACUUGUAACAUCUGGCUUCAGUGGCACUAGGGAGGCUUCUGAGGAGCAAGAUGGAUUGUGCGAAUGACAACCACACACACAGAGCAGCUGGAGUACCAAUCCCCUUCAGCAACCUCAGUCUUCAAAAAGGUAUCCCUGCUCCCAUGGUGGGCAGGACCUGCUUUUCUCCUGGUCCUCCACAACGCUGGUAGUGUUUACAGUAGCUCUACAACAGGUAGAACUGAUGUUUUAAACUCCUCAGAAAAACCCCAAACCAAACCGAAGGCAGUGCUUUGCUUUUCUGAAAUAUUACAAACAGAAAAGCACUAUCUAAGUAUUUUCUUCUAAUUUUAGGGAACUUCUACGAGAGAACAGUGUUGGAGGGUUUGGUUAUACACAGAUGGUGCAAGAUGUUCUCCCACCCCACACUGGAGAGGUUUCACAUCCUCCUUGGGACAGCUUUCGCUCCACACAAGGCAAGAACUGUGCUUCUGGUGAGGUUUUCAUGAGCCAUUGUAGAUGUAAUUUACACAAAUGUGUAGCAUUACCUCUGGUAAGUAACCUUCUGAGGCAAAAUUACCAUGAGUGGUCAUUUAGUUUGGUGUUAAAUUUCCCACAGUCUUGUUUGCGUUAGGUCAGAUCAGCACAAAAUUGAUUUCCUGUGUGGUACCCUUCAGCUCUAUCCCACAACUACAUGGAAUUGUUUCAUUUUUGACUUCCAGAAGAAGCUGUGGGGAAAAAAUACAGUGUAAAACCAGGCAAACCCAAGUGUUAAUUCUGUCUUUUUACAGCUAAUUUUAAUGGACGAACAAAAGGAGGCAAUGGGUGAGCCUUGCCCCCUUAAGACCCAGGGCACCACCACCUCCAGGCAUGACAACAUCAGUCUAUCACAUGAGCAAGGAUGGAGUCAAGCAGUCACACAAGCAAGGGCCCUGCUGUGCCAGCUCUGACACUGGAAGCUCUCAGACAUGCCUUAUCCUGAACUACACAACACAUUUUCCAUGAAUGUGGUCUCAUGGUAUUAAGUAAUUCUACUUUUCCUCCUACUUCGGCCCUCUUGUCUGCAAGCAAGAAUUCCGUUAUCUGUGACAUCUAAAGGA
Molecule: long non-coding RNA, 1663 nt
Organism: Neopsephotus bourkii (Bourke's parrot)
Lineage: Eukaryota; Metazoa; Chordata; Aves; Psittaciformes; Psittacidae
Exons: 3
Source: RefSeq, a predicted model, not a curated record